This 756-nucleotide long non-coding RNA is filed under the name Homo sapiens (human). Its description in RNAcentral is "HSALNT0288237". The record is from RNAcentral. Lineage: Eukaryota; Metazoa; Chordata; Mammalia; Primates; Hominidae.
GUACUGAAGAGCAACUUCAGCUAUUAAGGUAUCUAUCAGAAGUCUUACUCUCUAAAAAGCCUCUGUUACACCUCAAUGCAACCUCCUGGAAGGCUAGCCUUAAGCCCAGCAGUCCAACCAUGCAUCUAAGCUGAGUUCUCGUCAGAGCCAACUUCAAUUAUAAACAACUGAGAUGAUGCCAGUGGCCAGAAUUCCUGAGAACCCAAUUUGCUGUCAUCACCGCAGCUGAAACAAGGCGCUUGGCAUCUAGAAAAGCUGAUCUGUAGGAAAUUUCCAAUAGAGUUCAAUUUUUUCCAAGUUUAAAGUGUACAAUAUCAUCAAGGUCAGACACUCGAGGUAAAACUAGGCUUGUGUUUAAAUAUAAUAAAAAUAUUUGAAGAAUAGUAAGAGUGGUGACUACUUUCACACAGGAAUGUUUCAAAUAAAUUGCUUUUUUCUUGUGCCUUUUAAAUUUUGUGAUUUGUCAAUGAGAUGCUGACAUAUUUUUAAUGAAGCAUGCCUUGUAAAAUAAUAAGUGAAUGAAAACUACACAGUAAUAUUCACAUCAACAAAGCUAGAAGAAGACUGUAUGUCUCAAGAGGCUCCAUCAUCUACCCAGCGGCCACUUGACCAAAUUAAGAUCCAAAUACCAAAAAGAAAAGUAUUAAAAUUUGUGUUGUAUGCCUUAUAAGACCAAACCUAUAAAAUGAGGGGAAACUUCACAAUUACUUGUAAUUUGCUCUGUGGAAUUGUAACAGAUGGAUUAUAAAGAUGAUU